CCCUUAGAUGUCCUGGGCCGCACGCGUGCUACACUGACGCCUACAGCGAGUACUUCCCAGCCCCGAGAGGUGGCUGGUAAUCAGCAAUAGGCGUCGUGAUGGGGAUAGAUCUUUGGAAUUAUGGAUCUUGAACGAGGAAUGCCUAGUAAGCGCAGGUCAUUAGCCUGCGCUGAUUAAGUCCCUGCCCUUUGUACACACCGCCCGUCGCUCCUACCGAUUUCGGGUGGUCCGGUGAAUCUUUCGGACUGCGCGCGGCCUCGUGCCGUGUCGCGGAAAGUCAGGUAAACCUUAUCACUUAGAGGAAGGAGAAGUCGUAACA
This 319-nucleotide ribosomal RNA is filed under the name uncultured eukaryote. RNAcentral's name for it is "partial 18S ribosomal RNA". It matches the Rfam family "Eukaryotic small subunit ribosomal RNA", at positions 1470 to 1796 of the family's 1831-position model. The record is from RNAcentral.